RNAcentral lists this ribosomal RNA (253 nucleotides) under uncultured bacterium. RNAcentral describes it as "partial 16S ribosomal RNA". It matches the Rfam family "Bacterial small subunit ribosomal RNA", at positions 524 to 776 of the family's 1533-position model. The record is from RNAcentral.
CACGUAGGGGACGAGCGUUGUCCGGAAUCAUUGGGCGUAAAGUGCGUGUAGGCGGCUUUGCAAGUCGGAUGUGAAAGCCCACGGCUCAACCGUGGAAGUGCAUCCGAAACUGCAUGGCUGGAGUCUCGGAGAGGAAGGUGGAAUGCUUGGUGUAGAGGUGAAAUUCGUAGAUAUCAAGCAGAACACCUGCGGCGAAGGCGGCCUUCUGGACGAUGACUGACGCUGAGACGCGAAAGCGUGGGGAGCAAACAGG